UCUUCUUCACGGCGGUUCUCUCGGUCUUUGGUCGGGGUGUCUGUCCGUGGUUGGCUCUGGCUAGGAGCUUUGUGGCAGGCUUCUUGUUUCUGUUCAGUCUCGGGUUAUCGGUUGUCCUUCCGGUAACGGCGCGUGAGAGUCAGUCCGGAGCUAUAGUCGGUAAGCUUGGUCUCUGGUCUCUCUAGUGGUCACGCGUUUGGUCAGAACUUUGUUUCUUGCUCUGUUCGAUCUACGGAUCUGGGGUGUUGCAGAAGUUUUUGCCUCCGUUUGUGUGCAGGUCCGAUGUUGUGGCCCUCGGGUUACUCUCGCCUUUCCUAAUAAAGAUGUGGGGUUUGGCGGUGGCGGUCGUCGUUUCUCCAUCCUCUCGGGUUUUUGGUGAUGGUUUAGCUGUGGAGUUGUUUGGGUUAGCAGGAAUUGGAUAGGCUUUAGUUUGGCUCCGGCUUUCUAGCGUGCUUGGUGGUAUUUCUUCGGAAGAGGUGUUUCUGGCCGGUCCCACUGCUCUAUAUGAGCCUUGGGUUCAACGGGUGUACACGGUCACGGGUUGGUGAGUUGGAGGCAGCAAUCUUCAGCACCCUUCUCCGAACGACGGCAUCGUCGGUUGUGAGAUUCUCUUCGUGCUGCCGGUUAAGUAUCUCUCGGGUUAGCUAGCGAGUUUGGGUUGUGAUUCUUUGGGCUGUUUAUGACGUUUGAGUUCUCCAGAAGCUGCAGGAGCCGUGUGUUUCAAGGUUUGAGGGCGCCUUUCUCUCCGGUAGCUCGUGGCGACUGGUAGCUCUCUCUGUUGUCGAUUCGCUUUCUGGUCCUUCGCGCUAAAGUUGAAGUUUUGUUCAUUGUCAGCUUCUUCUUUGCUUCAUUAGUUUUUCGUUGCUUAGAUCCCUUUUGUUUAGUUUAUUCAUGUUCUUCUGCUACUAGUUCGCUGUGUAUCGUCUGUAAAAAAUUGAAAAGUUGG
Molecule: long non-coding RNA, 946 nt
Filed under: Brassica rapa (field mustard)
Lineage: Eukaryota; Viridiplantae; Streptophyta; Magnoliopsida; Brassicales; Brassicaceae
Description: long non-coding RNA (BRAP_LNC002343)
Source: RNAcentral